CCACUUUAACAACAUGUGGACUACAUUGCAGGAGCAGGGGAGACGUGCCUGUCUGCACCACGAAAAAAGAGAGAGAAAUCAUUGCACAAAGGAGGUGGGGAAAGACUCGACUGAAAAGUAGAAAACAUCUUAGGAAGAAGGCACACUACAGUAUUAGAGUAGUACAUUCCAACUAAAGCUGCAGACAAGAAGAAAAAAAACACACUGGAUUUGUUUUGUGUGUAUUUGAAGAAAAGACCUGAAGAAUGAUGAGCCCUAAUCUCAGGUAGCGUCUGAGGACCCCUGGAUGACAACUCGCUCCAGCAACAAAAACAAGCCACAUUCCUGCAAGGAACUCCUUCAGGGAGGAGGUGCCAUGCUGUCAACUUGUCUGUUCACUCCGUCACGGUCUGGACUUUGCCGAGCGUGUGAGAACGCCGACGACUAACACAGGAUGGACCCCAAAGAACAAGCAGUGAGCCUCCUGGACAAGAUUUGGGCCAAGCUGCUGGCUCUGCCAAACGCCACCCCCAUCGAGCUGGGAGCUUUCAUCAUCCUCUUAAUAUUCAUGUUGGUGGUCGUCAUCACAAUGCUGGUGAUCUGUGCCAGCUUCUGCUGCUGCCGCCGGAGCAGCUGCGGCAGCCGCAGAGCCAAGAGGAGGAAGCGGACAUUUACAAGCAUCUAAUCUACAUGCCAAAACUUAAAACAGGUUUUGGCCAAGGCUGCCAGCUUGCACAAUGACAGCGUGUGCCAGGACUGGGACUACCGCUCACGAAACUGGGACGGGUGUGUCCACCCUCCCAAAAACACAGCAACUCUCACUAACAAAGAUGUCCUGACUUCUAAACACAUCGGCUGAAGCUGCCAGACUUUCAGGAAUAUCGGCAUUCCUUGGAUUGCCCACGUACACACUGGCAGGAGGACGACACACACCAACCAUAUUUUAACGUACAGAUACGUGUAACCAAAAAAAUUUUUAUAUUGCAGGUCAUCCAGGUAUUACUUGAUGAACCAAGUUCUGCUAGACAUGCAACAUGGUUAUUUUGCAUUUUAAUGUUCUUUUUUUUUUUUUUUUGUUCUUGUAAUUAAAAAUAUUAAGACUUGUUUCCCCAACUAACUUUGUUCUGUUUGUACCCUGCCAUAUGGCUUUGGAAAAGGCUUUUUUUUUCUUUAAUAUUUCAACUCUAUGCUCCUAAAAUUACAUUAUUUUUCCUUGUUUUCUCAUUACAAUACAGUUUUUUUUCUCUUUCUAUUUGGACUUUUUUUUAGUUCAUUUUCCAACUAUUUCAACUUUUUUUCUUGUAAAUUUCCUCCAAUUAAUGACUUUAUUCCAAUAAUAUUUUCACUUUAGUCUUGUAAGAACUUUAUAACCUAUUCCGCCUAUUGUUUUUUUUCCCUUUGGCAUUUUAACUACUAUGAUUGUUAUUUUUCUCAUAUUAUUGUGACAUUAUUCUUGAAAAGUCAUUAUUUCUCUCUGAAUAUUUUGACUUUAUUCUUGUUUUCUAAAAAUGUCUUAAUAAAAAACAGCCACAGACCUCAAAUGGCCCCCGGGCUGCACUCUGGAUACCCCUGAUGUAAACAGGUGAGUAAUAACUAUUUCCCAAAGACAAUGGCGUGACUAUGUGAUGAUUGUAUUUGUCAUACUAUCUUGAGGGCAAUAAAUAACAUUUUAUGUG
Doryrhamphus excisus (bluestripe pipefish) is the source of this 1655-nucleotide long non-coding RNA. RefSeq lists it as uncharacterized. Lineage: Eukaryota; Metazoa; Chordata; Actinopteri; Syngnathiformes; Syngnathidae. The record is from RefSeq and is a predicted model, not a curated record.